Molecule: ribosomal RNA, 522 nt
Filed under: uncultured bacterium
Lineage: Bacteria
Description: bacterial SSU rRNA
Rfam family: Bacterial small subunit ribosomal RNA
Source: RNAcentral
AAUAGAUACCCCUGGUAGUCCACGCCCUAAACGAUGAUUACUCGUCAUUGGCGAUACACAGUCAGUGACCAAGCGAAAGCGUUAAGUAAUCCACCUGGGAAGUACGACCGCAAGGUUGAAACUCAAAGGAAUUGACGGGGGUCCGCACAAGUGGUGGAGCAUGUGGUUUAAUUCGAUGAUACGCGAGGAACCUUACCUGGGCUAGAAUGUGAGUGACCGGUGGUGAAAGCCACUUUUCCGCAAGGACACGAAACAAGGUGCUGCAUGGCUGUCGUCAGCUCGUGCCGUGAGGUGUUGGGUUAAGUCCCGCAACGAGCGCAACCCCCAUCUUCAGUUGCCAUCAUUAAGUUGGGCACUCUGGAGAAACUGCCGCCGUAAGGCGCGAGGAAGGAGGGGACGAUGUCAAGUCAUCAUGGCCUUUAUGCCCAGGGCUACACACGUGCUACAAUGGUAAGGACAAAGGGCAGCUACCUGGCGACAGGAUGCGAAUCUCAAAAACCUUAUCUCAGUUCGGAUUGCAGG